Non-coding RNA from Nitrospira bacterium SG8_35_1, 117 nucleotides. Lineage: Bacteria; Pseudomonadati; Nitrospirota; Nitrospiria. The record is from Rfam.
UCCGGUGGCUAUACCGGAGGGGCCACACCCGUUCCCAUUCCGAACACGGAAGUUAAGACCUCCAGGGCUGAUGAUACUUGUGCUGCGAGGCGCUGGGAAAGUAAGUCGCUGCCGGAU